Molecule: transfer RNA, 71 nt
Filed under: Camelus bactrianus (Bactrian camel)
Lineage: Eukaryota; Metazoa; Chordata; Mammalia; Artiodactyla; Camelidae
Also listed under: 1 other name
Rfam family: tRNA
About the family: Transfer RNA (tRNA) molecules are approximately 80 nucleotides in length. Their secondary structure includes four short double-helical elements and three loops (D, anti-codon, and T loops). Further hydrogen bonds mediate the characteristic L-shaped molecular structure. tRNAs have two regions of fundamental functional importance: the anti-codon, which is responsible for specific mRNA codon recognition, and the 3' end, to which the tRNAs corresponding amino acid is attached (by aminoacyl-tRNA synthetases). tRNAs cope with the degeneracy of the genetic code in two manners: having more than one tRNA (with a specific anti-codon) for a particular amino acid; and 'wobble' base-pairing, i.e. permitting non-standard base-pairing at the 3rd anti-codon position.
Source: Rfam by way of RNAcentral
GAGGAUAUAGCUCAGUGGUAGAGUGCGUGCUUAGCACAUACAGGUCCUGGGUUCAGUCCCCAGUACCUCCA